Molecule: long non-coding RNA, 2004 nt
Organism: Sapajus apella (tufted capuchin)
Lineage: Eukaryota; Metazoa; Chordata; Mammalia; Primates; Cebidae
Exons: 2
Source: RefSeq, a predicted model, not a curated record
GCCUGGAGGAUGGGUGGGAAACCUGGGAAUCCAGCUUUGAAAGACAGAGCUGGUUGGACUUUCCCGCAUUUUGCAUCACGUCGGUUUAAUAAGCGUUCGCUUCCUCUUCGUCCGCGACUCUGCGCCUUCCGCUUUCCUUCAGUCAUUCGCUGGGGGUCUAUGCUUCAGCUUGUGGGAAUGAGUUUCAGGGCCCCUUGGGCACCUCCUGCUGAACCCUUCAGGAAUGAAAACAGAGCAUACCAUUUCUGUGCCGGUACUCAUCCCAAGAGUCACCUCUUCUGUCACCUCCCCCAGACCUAUUUAGGACACCCUUUCUCUGCGCUCCUAGUUUGUAACUAACAUCUCUAAGAGGCACUAAUUACAGCCCAGUCCCUAGAUGAUGACUCCUAGUUCCUGUGCAUUUGUAAGUGUACGUGUUAUUUUUUUACACUCAGCAUUGAGAUCUUUCCAUAUCUAUACAUAAAUCUACCUCAUUCUCUGAAAAUGCUGCAUGCCUUCAGAACCAAUAUGUGUGUGUGUGUGUGUGUGUGUGUGUAUAAAAUUAAUGUAUCAUUUCCCCACCCUCAGAUAUGUUUGGUUAUUAAUAUGAGAAUCAGUGCUACCAUAAACACAUGUGUAAGUGCCUUUUUGUACUUAUGUCCAAGUAUUCUCUAGAGUACAGAUACCAACAAGAGAAUGUACUGGAUCAUAGAGUAUGCAUGACGUAAAUCCUUAAUAGAGUUCACUGACUUGUUCCCUUGACUAGUUGUUAUAACUCACAUUCCUUACCCCUAGUAUUUGAGCAAUCUUUUCCCUGUAUCCUUGCCAAAAUUGAUAAAAUACAAUUUAAAAAAUAUUUCUAAACUGAUAGCUGUGAAAACCUUUUAAAGGAUAACACAUAUACAAAAUAAGUGAAAUAAUCAUAAGUGCUUGUCUUGGUGACAGUGUGAGCAAACUUGUGUAACAACGCCUCAUACCAAUAUUUUAAAUGUUUACCAGCAACAUGGAAGCUUUCCUCAUGCUCAGUCUUAGUCAUUAUGUCCCAACACACAAGUAGCCACAAUUCUGAAUCCUAUCACCAAAUUAGUUUUGCCUUCUUUUGAAUGUUUAUAAAUAACCAUACAUAGUAUGUGCUCUUAUAUGGCCCUCUUUGCUUAAUACUAUAUUUGUAAGAUUGAUGAAUAUUAAAGAAUGUAAUAGUUUCAUUUUCAUUUUUGCAUAUAAUUCGAAAAUUUACUUGUCUAUUCUACUGUUGUUUGACAUUAGGUUAUUUAAUGUUUGGGGUAAUUACAAAUGAUACUGCUAUGAAUAUUCUAGUAACUGUCUUAUGAUGCACAUAGUUACACAUUUGAUUUUGGAAGAUCCCUAAAUGUAGUAUUAUUCUGCACAGGACAUAUUUUCAAUAUACUCAACAUUAGUAGACACUGCCAAAUGGUUUUUAUGUUUUACUAAUUUAUACAUGCACUAACUGUGAAUGAAAAUUUCAGUUACUCUGCAUCUCUGUCAACACUUACUAUACUCAUUUGUGUUUUGUGUCCUUCCUUUUUCUUCUCCUUUUUAAAUGUUAUACAUUCUGGUGACUAUGUAGAGGUGUCACAUUGUGGAUUUAAUUGCCUUUACUCAAGUGUAGCCUCUGGAGUCUCAGAGAAAUUGAUGGAAACCACUCCUGAGGAAGCCCAGAUAUUAGACUUACUAGACAAAAUUUAAGUCAACUAUCUUACGUAUACUCAAAGAACUAACAGAAACUAUGAACAUAAAACCUGAAGGAAACUAGGGGAAUGAUGUAUAAACAAAAGGAAAAUACCAAUAAAAAGAUAGAAAUUAUCAAAAGGAACCAAAUAGGAAAUCUUGGGCUUGCAAGUACAAUAACUGAAAUGAAAACUUCACUUCAGAAUUUCAAGAGACAAUUUUAGCAUGUCAAAGGAUGAAUCAGUGAACUUGAAGAUAAGGAAAAUGAGCAAAGCCUAAGGGACCUAUGGGACAUCAACAAGGAUACCAAAAUAAAUAUUACAGAAGUCACACAAG